AUUGAACGCUGGCGGCAUGCCUUACACAUGCAAGUCGAACGGUAACAGGUCUUUCGGGACGCUGACGAGUGGCGAACGGGUGAGUAAUACAUCGGAACGUGCCUAGUAGUGGGGGAUAACUACUCGAAAGAGUGGCUAAUACCGCAUGAGAUCUAUGGAUGAAAGCAGGGGACCUUUGGGCCUUGUGCUACUAGAGCGGCCGAUGGCAGAUUAGGUAGUUGGUGGGAUAAAAGCUUACCAAGCCUACGAUCUGUAGCUGGUCUGAGAGGACGAUCAGCCACACUGGGACUGAGACACGGCCCAGACUCCUACGGGAGGCAGCAGUGGGGAAUUUUGGACAAUGGGCGCAAGCCUGAUCCAGCAAUGCCGCGUGCAGGAUGAAGGCCUUCGGGUUGUAAACUGCUUUUGUACGGAACGAAAAGUCUUGGGUUAAUACCCUGGGAUCAUGACGGUACCGUAAGAAUAAGCACCGGCUAACUACGUG
Molecule: ribosomal RNA, 484 nt
Filed under: uncultured bacterium
Lineage: Bacteria
Description: partial 16S ribosomal RNA
Rfam family: Bacterial small subunit ribosomal RNA
Source: RNAcentral